Molecule: ribosomal RNA, 503 nt
Filed under: uncultured bacterium
Lineage: Bacteria
Description: partial 16S ribosomal RNA
Rfam family: Bacterial small subunit ribosomal RNA
Source: RNAcentral
AUUGAACGCUGGCGGCAGGCUUAACACAUGCAAGUCGAGCGGGGUGAUGGUGCUUGCACUAUCACUUAGCGGCGGACGGGUGAGUAAUGCUUAGGAAUCUGCCUAUUAGUGGGGGACAACAUCUCGAAAGGGAUGCUAAUACCGCAUACGUCCUACGGGAGAAAGCAGGGGAUCACUUGUGACCUUGCGCUAAUAGAUGAGCCUAAGUCGGAUUAGCUAGUUGGUGGGGUAAAGGCCUACCAAGGCGACGAUCUGUAGCGGGUCUGAGAGGAUGAUCUGCCACACUGGGGCGGAGACACGGCCCAGACUCCUACGGGAGGCAGCAGUGGGGAAGAUUGGACAAUGGGGGGAACCCUGAUCCAGCCAUGCCGCGUGCGUGAAGAAGGCCUUAUGGUUGUAAAGCACUUUAAGCGAGGAGGAGGCUCUUUUGGUUAAUACCCAAGAUGAGUGGACGUUACUCGCAGAAUAAGCACCGGCUAACUCUGUGCCAGCAGCCGCCGUAA